RNAcentral lists this ribosomal RNA (407 nucleotides) under uncultured bacterium. RNAcentral's name for it is "partial 16S ribosomal RNA". It matches the Rfam family "Bacterial small subunit ribosomal RNA", at positions 30 to 526 of the family's 1533-position model. The record is from RNAcentral.
AUUGAACGCUGGCGGCAGGCCUAACACAUGCAAGUCGAGCGGAGCGGCGGACGGGUGAGUAAUGCCUAGGAAUCUGCCUGGUAGUGGGGGAUAACGUCCGGAAACGGGCGCUAAUACCGCAUACUAUCAGAUGAGACUAGGGCGGAUUAGCUAGUUGGUGGGGUAAGGGCCUACCAAGGCGACGAUCCGUAACUGGUCUGAGAGGAUGAUCAGUCACACUGGAACUGAGAAAGGGGCCAGAAUCCCACGGGAGGCAGCAGUGGGGAAUAUUGGACAAGGGGCGAAAGCCUGACCCAGUCAUGGCGCGUGUGUGAAGAAGGUCUUCGGAUUGUAAAGCACUUUAAGUUGGGAGGCGGUACCAACAGAAUAAGCACCGGCUAACUUCGUGCCAGCAGCCGCGGUAAUUC